ACCUGGGUGGCUCAGUCUGUUGAGCGUCUGACUUCGGCUCAGGUCAUGAUCUCGCGGUCUGUGGGUUCAAGCCCCGCAUCGGGCU
Molecule: transfer RNA, 85 nt
Filed under: Felis catus (domestic cat)
Lineage: Eukaryota; Metazoa; Chordata; Mammalia; Carnivora; Felidae
Rfam family: tRNA
About the family: Transfer RNA (tRNA) molecules are approximately 80 nucleotides in length. Their secondary structure includes four short double-helical elements and three loops (D, anti-codon, and T loops). Further hydrogen bonds mediate the characteristic L-shaped molecular structure. tRNAs have two regions of fundamental functional importance: the anti-codon, which is responsible for specific mRNA codon recognition, and the 3' end, to which the tRNAs corresponding amino acid is attached (by aminoacyl-tRNA synthetases). tRNAs cope with the degeneracy of the genetic code in two manners: having more than one tRNA (with a specific anti-codon) for a particular amino acid; and 'wobble' base-pairing, i.e. permitting non-standard base-pairing at the 3rd anti-codon position.
Source: Rfam by way of RNAcentral